AGUAUCUGUUCUUCUCAGUUUAAUAUCUGAUACAUCCUCUAUCUGAGGACAAUAUUUUAAAUGGAUUUUUGGAAUUAGGAGAUGGAAUAGGAGCUUGUUCCAUCCACUCCACGCAUCAGCCUGAUACUGCAAUACUUCCAGGAACGGCGC
RNAcentral lists this small nuclear RNA (150 nucleotides) under Carlito syrichta (Philippine tarsier). RNAcentral's name for it is "U2 spliceosomal RNA (ENSTSYG00000020698.2)". It matches the Rfam family "U2 spliceosomal RNA", at positions 35 to 185 of the family's 192-position model. Rfam says of the family: U2 is a small nuclear RNA (snRNA) component of the spliceosome (involved in pre-mRNA splicing). Complementary binding between U2 snRNA (in an area lying towards the 5' end but 3' to hairpin I) and the branchpoint sequence (BPS) of the intron results the bulging out of an unpaired adenosine, on the BPS, which initiates a nucleophilic attack at the intronic 5' splice site, thus starting the first of two transesterification reactions that mediate splicing. The record is from RNAcentral. Lineage: Eukaryota; Metazoa; Chordata; Mammalia; Primates; Tarsiidae.